AAGUGCUAUUGCUUAGUGGCGGACGGGUGAGUAACGCGUGAGCAACCUCCCUUACAGAGGGGGAUAACAUUCGGAAACGAAUGCUAAUACCGCAUAACAUAUAACUGUGGCAUCACAGAAAUAUCAAAGGAGUAAUCCGCUGUAAGAUGGGCUCGCGUCCGAUUAGAUAGUUGGUGAGGUAAUGGCUCACCAAGUCUACGAUCGGUAGCCGGACUGAGAGGUUGAUCGGCCACAUUGGGACUGAGACACGGCCCAGACUCC
Molecule: ribosomal RNA, 261 nt
Filed under: uncultured Oscillospiraceae bacterium
Lineage: Bacteria; Bacillati; Bacillota; Clostridia; Eubacteriales; Oscillospiraceae
Description: partial 16S ribosomal RNA
Rfam family: Bacterial small subunit ribosomal RNA
Source: RNAcentral